This 549-nucleotide ribosomal RNA is filed under the name uncultured Glomeraceae. Its description in RNAcentral is "SSU rRNA". It matches the Rfam family "Eukaryotic small subunit ribosomal RNA", at positions 548 to 1098 of the family's 1831-position model. The record is from RNAcentral. Lineage: Eukaryota; Fungi; Glomeromycota; Glomeromycetes; Glomerales; Glomeraceae.
UUGGAGGGCAAGUCUGGUGCCAGCAGCCGCGGUAAUUCCAGCUCCAAUAGCGUAUAUUAAAGUUGUUGCAGUUAAAAAGCUCGUAGUUGAAUUUCGGGGUUAGUAGGUUGGUCAUGCCUCUGGUAUGUACUGGUCUCACUGAUUCCUCCUUCCUGAUGAACCUUAAUGCCAUUAAUUUGGUGUUUUGGGGAAUUUGGACUGUUACUUUGAAAAAAUUAGAGUGUUUAAAGCAAGCUAACGCCUGAAUACAUUAGCAUGGAAUAAUGAAAUAGGACGUUCGAUCCUAUUUUGUUGGUUUCUAGGAUUGACGUAAUGAUUAAUAGGGAUAGUUGGGGGCAUUAGUAUUCAAUUGUCAGAGGUGAAAUUCUUGGAUUUAUUGAAGACUGACUACUGCGAAAGCAUUUGCCAAGGAUGUUUUCAUUAAUCAAGAACGAAAGUUAAGGGAUCGAAGACGAUCAGAUACCGUCGUAGUCUUAACCAUAAACUAUGCCGACUAGGAAUCAGACGAUGUUAAUUUUUUAAUGACUCGUUCGGCGCCUUACGGGAAAC